RNAcentral lists this ribosomal RNA (274 nucleotides) under uncultured bacterium. RNAcentral describes it as "partial 16S ribosomal RNA". It matches the Rfam family "Bacterial small subunit ribosomal RNA", at positions 523 to 796 of the family's 1533-position model. The record is from RNAcentral.
AUACGGAGGGUGCAAGCGUUACUCGGAAUCACUGGGCGUAAAGCGCGCGCAGGCGGCUAUUUAAGUUGGAUGUGAAAGCCUAUGGCUCAACCAUAGAACUGCAUCCAAAACUAUUUAGCUAGAGUGUGAGAGAGGAAGAUGGAAUUAGUUGUGUAGGGGUAAAAUCCGUAGAGAUAACUAGGAAUACCAAAAGCGAAGGCAAUCUUCUGGAACACUACUGACGCUAAGGCGCGAAAGCGUGGGGAGCAAACAGAAUUAGAAGCCCUAGUAGUCC